CUGGAGGGCUAUAGGAAAAGGGCCCCCCAUAGUUAUAUAAAGGAUAGGUAGACAGGAAUUCCUUUUACAUCUUAGGUAAUGCUGAUCGUCUCAUAAGAAACCAUUCUACAAGAACAUUAGGUUACUGCAGUUCAUAAAGACAUGUUGUGGGAGCUGUAAUCAUCUACUGAUAACGAAAAAUAGCUCAUACCAGCAAUCAUACAAUUGGUUCAUAGGGACACCGCCCGUUGAAAACAGAGUACUGAGCAUGCGUAGAACGUGAUACUCUUAUAUAAUAGUAUGUUGCAAUGCGCGUAAUAGUAAGCGCGCACAAACAGUACUUAACUAUAACUAGUGCUGUUCAUGAGGAAAUGGCUACAAGCCAUCCAAUCAUAAUGAAGCUCAUGACUGAGCAUCCCCAGGAUGCAACAAGAUGAUGGGUGGAGUUAUGGGCAUAUAGGCAGAGGAUCUUUCCCAUUUGGUUGGGACUGUUCCACUGCUGACGAGCCGUGUGAUGUGUAUGCGCUGCCUCCUGAUGAAUCGCUGGUCCCCCGAUAUGGAGUGAUGAUGCAAUAUCCGAUGCGGCAACGGCCAUAUCCACUAUAUCCAAGUCAGAGGAUAGAGAGACUGAGUCAUGGCUGGAAGGUACAGCCGUUUGGGCUCACCAAAAAAGUAGACAUCUUGGAGAAAAGGCCACUUACAGAAUCCACUAAGACAUUGUGGCAUCACCCUUGGUCUCCUUGGUAUCGUGUGGUUGGCAUCCUACGCAGACGGUAAUACACCCGGACACAAGCUGAGCCUGGCUGAAUCCAGAAAUUGGACGUGGGGAUGGAGAAACUAUUCUAAAACCAGGAAACAGGACAGUGUUACAUGUGAAGUCAAUUGACUCUGCAUUUGUUCUUUGCAAACCCUACAGCAGCAACAACAGAAAGGGUUGUUCCAAACCAUGUUGUUGACGGGGAAUGAGGAAGUUUGGAGGACCGUGUUUAACUCUUUUGUAAGGGAAAAACACUGGCUGGACAUCAAAGCGCCUAAAAUAAGGUGUAAUGAUACGUCCUGCACCGGUAAAUUGGUCUACUACAAUGUGACUAAAAGUAAUAUAAUGUGCAAGUUUGUAGUAUUACCAAUGUUAAUGGGCCCAGAUGGUAAUCAACAUUUUUGGGUACCUACAUUUUAUGGACAAGUAAUUGAUAGCAAUAAUAGCACACAUGAUUUAACUUUCUGUGAUGACACUCUUGAAGGUAAAAUCUGUAAGUUACAGUCUGCUGUAUAUGAGCCUUGCUUGUUACAGAACACUGUAAAUAAAUGCGAGUGGACCAUAAUGCCUACGUCAUACCGAUGGAUGGUUGAAGUAGCACCCCAGGUGAUAUGCGUAGUGACAGAUCGUCAGGUGGUCCCUAAAAUGAGGGUGCCUUUUGCAGGAUGCAUACACAACAUCACGGUUAUUCAAUGGGAAAAUGAAACUUUUAUGUUAAAUUCAGAUAAUGAGCUAAGCACCAAGGUGUUAUGGCAAGACACGGCUUUAGAAGUCCCUAAUUGGGAUCUAAAUUUGACUAGACUGAAAGCUUUGCUGGACAAAUUGAUAGAAGUCCAUGCAGCAAUUAAGAAUUUGAACAGGAGUAUCACGGGACACAAGCUCUUUACUACGGUAGUGUCUGAUAAAAUUGUAAAAGUAGGAUCCGCCAUAGCGGACGCUACAUCCCAUCAUUGGUGGGACAUAUUCAUGGGGUAUUCCUCAUCAGCCAGGACUACCAUGGAUUGGGUGGUUCACCCCUUGUUGGUAGUCAUGAUAGUAGUAAUUGUACUAUCUAUUUGGAAUUGUUAUGUAGCCUACGGUAUAUGUUGUAAAAAACGAAAAAUGAUAAUGGUUUCCUAUACCAACGGUCAGCAUUAAGGACCGAAUGUGAUGUAAAUCUGAUACGAAUGUGUGCAUGACUGGAGGGCUAUAGGAAAAGGGCCCCCCAUAGUUAUAUAAAGGAUAGGUAGACAGGAAUUCCUUUUACAUCUUAGGUAAUGCUGAUCGUCUCAUAAGAAACCAUUCUACAAGAACAUUAGGUUACUGCAGUUCAUAAAGACAUGUUGUGGGAGCUGUAAUCAUCUACUGAUAACGAAAAAUAGCUCAUACCAGCAAUCAUACAAUUGGUUCAUAGGGACACCGCCCGUUGAAAACAGAGUACUGAGCAUGCGUAGAACGUGAUACUCUUAUAUAAUAGUAUGUUGCAAUGCGCGUAAUAGUAAGCGCGCACAAACAAUACUUAACUAUAACUAGUGCUGUUCAUGAGGAAAUGGCUACAAGCCAUCCAAUCAUAAUGAAGCUCAUGACUGAGCAUCCCCAGGAUGCAACAAGAUGAUGGGUGGAGUUAUGGGCAUAUAGGCAGAGGAUCUUUCCCAUUUGGUUGGGACUGUUCCACUGCUGACGAGCCGUGUGAUGUGUAUGCGCUGCCUCCUGAUGAAUCGCUGG
Molecule: long non-coding RNA, 2440 nt
Organism: Bufo gargarizans (Asiatic toad)
Lineage: Eukaryota; Metazoa; Chordata; Amphibia; Anura; Bufonidae
Exons: 3
Source: RefSeq, a predicted model, not a curated record